RNAcentral lists this non-coding RNA (27 nucleotides) under Homo sapiens (human). The record is from RNAcentral. Lineage: Eukaryota; Metazoa; Chordata; Mammalia; Primates; Hominidae.
UGCGGAGCCGAAGCUGGACUGUACUGC